RNAcentral lists this long non-coding RNA (1245 nucleotides) under Capra hircus (goat). RNAcentral's name for it is "lncRNA (ENSCHIG00010015989.1)". The record is from RNAcentral. Lineage: Eukaryota; Metazoa; Chordata; Mammalia; Artiodactyla; Bovidae.
GUAAGAGUUAUGUAUUCUGAAUACAAAUCCCUGAUCAGAUAUAUGAUUUAAAAGUACUUUAUUCUAUUCUAUAUUUGUCUUUUCACUUCCUUGAUGAUUUUUUUUUUGAAGUGUAACAUUUUAAAAAAUUUUGUUCCCUAUGCUUUUGGUGUCCAUAUCUGAGAAAUUGUUGCCUCACCCAAGAUUUAUUCCCAUGAAGAUUUGCUCCUAUUUUAUUCUAAGAAUUUUAUAGUCUUUUUUUUAUGUUUUACAUUUAAAUCCAUGAUCCAUUUUGAGUUAACUUCUGCCUCUGCCCUUUUCUGUUUGCCCCAAUCCUCAGAGAUUUUGUUCCCAAGUUCAUUCCCCAACAAAUCUACAAACUUCAAGUUUAUUUCCCUGGAAUCAGAUAGUUGACUCAUAAAUAUGAAAAUAGAAUGUGAUGACUGGGGGCAUUGUGGAAACUGUAAACACACCUGUCCCUGGUGUGGAUUUCUGAGGGCUGACACUUCCCCCAAGGUGAGGAAGGCCUGUAGAAUAGAAGCUCCUUUGUGGACUAGCAAGGGCUGACUUCUCCAUUUGCCCCUGCUUAGCAAAACCCAUUCAGACUGCUUAACAAAAAUGCCACAGUCCAGGUGGAUUAUAAACAACAGAAAUUUAUUUCUCAUGAUUCUAGAGGCUGCAAAAUCCAAGAUCAAGAUGCUAGCAGAUUAGGUACCCACUCCUGGAGAUGGUUGGAUCUCCAACCAUGGAGAUCCAUGGUUAGCAUCACCAUGAGAUGGCAUCACCAGCUCAAUGGACAUGAGUUUGAGCAAACUCUAGAUAGUGACGGACAGGGAAGCCUGGCAUGCUGCAGUCCAUGGGGUUUCAAAGAGCCGGACAUGACUUAGCGACUGAACAACAACCUGACUCAAAGACAGCCUUCUCUUCUCUGUGCCCUCUUAUGGUAGAAGGAACAGGGGAGCUUUCUAAUAUCUCUUUAUAAGGAACAUUAUUCCCAUCCAUGAUGUCCUAAUCACCUCCCAAGGCCCUAUCUCUUAAUACUGGUAGCUUGGGUGCUGAGGAUUCAACCUAUGAACAUUAAGGGAAUACAAAUAUACAGUUUACGCCACCCGCUUUGCUUCAAAAACCUUAUUACUCUAUAGAAGACAGUUUUCAGUCACAGAGAUCAAAGCACAGGCAAGUUAAUAUUCAAAACAUGACAUUGCUUCAAGCUACAUAUCCUUUUAUAUAUGUAUUACAGCAGGAGAAAGAUAAUACAUAUUCUUU